Molecule: small nuclear RNA, 163 nt
Filed under: Parasteatoda tepidariorum (common house spider)
Lineage: Eukaryota; Metazoa; Arthropoda; Arachnida; Araneae; Theridiidae
Description: U1 spliceosomal RNA
Rfam family: U1 spliceosomal RNA
About the family: U1 is a small nuclear RNA (snRNA) component of the spliceosome (involved in pre-mRNA splicing). Its 5' end forms complementary base pairs with the 5' splice junction, thus defining the 5' donor site of an intron.
Source: RNAcentral
AUACUUACUUGGCGUCGGAGUAGCUCUGAUCAAGGAGGGAGCUCUCCUGGUUGGAGGCCUACCAUUGCACUACGGUAGGCUGACGACUGCCACUUCCGCAAAUUGCGGUUGGUUGGGGCGCACAAUUUUUGGUAGUCGGGGACUGCGUUCGCGCUGAUCCCUG